RNAcentral lists this ribosomal RNA (450 nucleotides) under uncultured bacterium. Its description in RNAcentral is "partial 16S ribosomal RNA". It matches the Rfam family "Bacterial small subunit ribosomal RNA", at positions 354 to 796 of the family's 1533-position model. The record is from RNAcentral.
GUGGGGAAUUUUGGACAAUGGGCGCAAGCCUGAUCCAGCAAUGCCGCGUGCAGGAAGAAGGCCUUCGGGUUGUAAACUGCUUUUGUACGGAACGAAACGGUCCUGGCUAAUAUCCGGGGCUAAUGACGGUACCGUAAGAAUAAGCACCGGCUAACUACGUGCCAGCAGCCGCGGUAAUACGUAGGGUGCGAGCGUUAAUCGGAAUUACUGGGCGUAAAGCGUGCGCAGGCGGUGCUGUAAGACAGGCGUGAAAUCCCCGGGCUCAACCUGGGAAUUGCGCUUGUGACUGCAGUGCUGGAGUACGGCAGAGGGGGAUGGAAUUCCGCGUGUAGCAGUGAAAUGCGUAGAUAUGCGGAGGAACACCGAUGGCGAAGGCAGUCCCCUGGGCCUGUACUGACGCUCAUGCACGAAAGCGUGGGGAGCAAACAGGAUUAGAUACCCUGGUAGUCC